RNAcentral lists this microRNA (24 nucleotides) under Homo sapiens (human). Its description in RNAcentral is "hsa-miR-6750-5p". Lineage: Eukaryota; Metazoa; Chordata; Mammalia; Primates; Hominidae. The record is from miRBase by way of RNAcentral.
CAGGGAACAGCUGGGUGAGCUGCU